GUGAGGAAUAUUGGUCAAUGGGCGAAAGCCUGAACCAGCCAUGUCGCGUGAAGGAUGAAGGUCCUAUGGAUUGUAAACUUCUUUUGCAGGAGGGUAAAGUGAGCUACGUGUAGUUCAUUGCAAGUACCCUGCGAAUAAGCAUCGGCUAACUCCGUGCCAGCAGCCGCGGUAAUACGGAGGAUGCGAGCGUUAUCCGGAUUUAUUGGGUUUAAGGGGUGCGUAGGCGGACUAAUUAGUCAGCGGUGAAAUUUUGCGGCUCAACCGUAAAACUGGCGUUGAAACUGUUAGUCUUGAGUGCGGUAGAGGUAGGCGGAAUGUGUGGUGUAGCGGUGAAAUGCUUAGAAAUCACACAGAACACCGAUUGCGUAGGCAGCUUACUGGAGCGCAACUGACGCUGAGGCACGAAAGCGUGGGGAUCGAACAGGAUUAGAAACCCGUGUAGUCC
Molecule: ribosomal RNA, 445 nt
Filed under: uncultured bacterium
Lineage: Bacteria
Description: partial 16S ribosomal RNA
Rfam family: Bacterial small subunit ribosomal RNA
Source: RNAcentral